GAACACUUCCAGGGAUGGGGCACCCACAGCUUCUCAGGGCAACCUCUUCCAGUGUUUCACCACCCUCUGAAUAAGGAAUUUCUUAAAACUGUUCCCUUUUGUUCUAUCAUUACCUGCUCAUAUCCAGUUUCCCUGACAAAGAUGACAAUCAUUCCAUCUUUGAUCAUUGGAGUAUCAGAACACUUUACUAUUAAGAGAGAAACUCCCUGCAGUAUCCUAUUUGCAGGUUCCCGUCUGUCUCCUGUGCAAGCUUUUGGGAUGGAAUAAAGGGAUAUUGCAUGCCAGGAUGAUGAGUCAGGGCUGGAAACAGCGGUGUUCUGACUGGUGCCUUUUCACAGCUGCAUGAGAGCCCUUCCACCACUGCCCACCACCCUUCCAGCAACUGCACCGCCUAUGUAACACCAACCAGGGCUGCAGGGAGGGGAGACACAGAACCUCUUAAUUUAUCUUUCCUGGCCUGAUGAGUCCUCAUCUGUUUACCUCUGAAUCUUUGACAACACUGUUUUCACACUUAUUCUCAAAUACCCAAAUACAUCAUGUCCUGGGAUGACCACAAACUAUAGCAUAGUUACUGGGAUUACAUUUCUUCUAUCCUCCUUUUAAAAAGAGAUACCAUAUUUGCUGGUUUGCGGUCCUCUAAUAUAACCUAUGAUUUUAUGAACU
Taeniopygia guttata (zebra finch) is the source of this 663-nucleotide non-coding RNA. Lineage: Eukaryota; Metazoa; Chordata; Aves; Passeriformes; Estrildidae. The record is from RefSeq and is a predicted model, not a curated record.